CUCGCCGGCCGAUCCGCGACGCUCACUUGUUUCGUCGUCUGCGUCCCCCGGCAGUGCAUCAGCUGGCUCGGUUGUGGCUGGCUGUCAAGAAAUGAGUUGUAUGUGAUUUCUGUGUGCUGGGGUAUAUUAUGUUUGUGAAGUCUGUUAGUUUGUGGAGUGCGAUUUGUUUAACGAGGAUUACCUUUGGAUGUAACAAAGUUUUCACGGCUAAACCUCCAAAUAACAACGAGAAAGGCACAAAAUAAUCGGAUUAUCGGCGUGAUCAGCCACUCUCCUAUCAUCAAGUCAACAGGUGAGUUGAGACUGCAACAACGGAUAUGAACAGAUAUGUAAGUUAGAUUUCAUAACUUUUGGAGUUUUGGUCCUCUCUCUCUCUCUCUCUCUCUCUGUCUU
Molecule: long non-coding RNA, 393 nt
Organism: Penaeus monodon (black tiger shrimp)
Lineage: Eukaryota; Metazoa; Arthropoda; Malacostraca; Decapoda; Penaeidae
Exons: 3
Source: RefSeq, a predicted model, not a curated record